UACGUAUGGGGCAAGCGUUGUUCGGAAUUAUUGGGCGUAAAGGGCGUCUAGGCGGGGAAUUAAGUUAGGUGUGAAAUCCAUGGGCUCAACCCGUGAACUGCACCUAAAACUGGUUCUCUUGAGUUCGGGAGAGGAGAGCGGAAUUCCAGGUGUAGCGGUGAAAUGCGUAGAUAUCUGGAAGAACACCAGUGGCGAAGGCGGCUCUCUGGCCUAGAACUGACGCUGAAGCGCGAAAGCGUGGGGAGCGAACAGG
RNAcentral lists this ribosomal RNA (253 nucleotides) under uncultured bacterium. RNAcentral's name for it is "partial 16S ribosomal RNA". It matches the Rfam family "Bacterial small subunit ribosomal RNA", at positions 524 to 776 of the family's 1533-position model. The record is from RNAcentral.